UGGGAGUUAGAGGAUGCGGUCAUGGUUGGUCUGCACACGUGUGGAGACCUGGCGCCCAGCACCCUGCGCAUGUUUGUGGCCAAACGGGAGCUCCUCUCCGUCUGCAGCGUUGGCUGCUGCUACCACCUUCUCUCUGAGGAGUUUGAUCCCACCAGACAAGAGUGUCCAAGCAGCAGUGUGUGUGGUUUCCCCU
This is a long non-coding RNA of Oncorhynchus gorbuscha (pink salmon), 193 nucleotides long. RefSeq lists it as uncharacterized. The transcript has 3 exons. The record is from RefSeq and is a predicted model, not a curated record. NCBI's taxonomy places the organism in Eukaryota, Metazoa, Chordata, Actinopteri, Salmoniformes, Salmonidae.